Molecule: long non-coding RNA, 1301 nt
Organism: Labrus mixtus (cuckoo wrasse)
Lineage: Eukaryota; Metazoa; Chordata; Actinopteri; Labriformes; Labridae
Exons: 3
Source: RefSeq, a predicted model, not a curated record
AUUGUCCCGGGUUCAGGUUACGAUAGCUCCGGCUGCUAAUUAUCUGAGCAGCGCGUAUGCAAAGUUUCUCAUGUGUUGAAAAUAACAUUACUGUACAUACUCUGCACAGUUGUAUCAACUAGCAUAAUGACUUCGAACUUUAUUCCAGCUUUCUAAAAAGGCGGUCAGUAUCAUCUCCAGCAACAAAUGCAACCUACAACCGCGACAGGUGUUCAGCUACUGAAUGAGGAAGAGGAGGAGGCUGAUGUCUUGUAAUCCAGGUCCUGAAGUUGCUGCAAUAAAAAAAAAAGCUGGAGUGUGAACGCCUUGAAAGAGAUGAGACUACGCCCAUUGAUGCAAAACAGAAUUCGAAGAUGAACGGGCCUUCCUACAAAACAGAGUCUAGUGCUGAUGAUCCACAGGCACCACCCACAGCUGAACUUUACUCACAUUUCACAGGAAGAAACUGCUCCUAAACUUUCUGCCUGCCUGUAUCUUCAGCUGUGCAUCAUCAGAGCUCAGGUCCAUUAUAACAAAGCUCCAGGAUAGUGUAGACCCCCCCCCCCCCCAAGCAGCUGAAUGUGUCAAUAAGUGCCCAAAUGUGCUUUAGAUUGUAUUUGUAUAGAAAGUCAAUGUUUGUUGAAUAAAUAACUAUUUUAUCUUGAUCUCUUUAACUUUUCCUUCUUAUUAUAUUAUCCUAUUUUAUUAUUACCUUAGUUGUUGUUGUUCUGCCCAAUGGUGAUCGUUUGAAUCUUGAAAUCUUGAUAAUGUUUUUGUUAUUUGGUAAAUAUAAAUAAGAAGAUAGGACUAAAAAUCAGUGGGCAAUGCACACAAUUACUAAUUGUUAUAACCAUUACCAGAACAGGUCAAUUACAGGUAGUAAAUGCAAUCACAACAAUAGAGUAGAAGAAAAGGAUAUCUGUUUUAUUAUGUAAACUGGUCAAAACAAAAGACUUCAAGGAACUCAACAUACAAACUCAACUUGAAAUGGCACAAAAAUACCGAACAAAACCACAAUAGGUAUGUAUGUACAAGUCUGUAAGACACAUUUUUACACAAGGCAACACACCCUGUAGCAAGGAUACUGUACUUGUAUAAGCAUCUCAGAUUUUCCAGACGCAUCAGCUUUGAUUCAUAACUCUGUUCCCCUCUCCCAAGCAGCCAUGCUAUCAUAACACACAUUGUCUAUAUGCUGCAGGCCUGUCAUGCUGCUCCACUCCAGGCUCCUGCUCAUCACUGAUGGUGAGUUGAAGUUGAAUCCUGGAAUAAAAGGAGAACCGAUGUUGAAAAACAAAAACCUCAUACACUUAUUACAUAUACAU